RNAcentral lists this long non-coding RNA (1120 nucleotides) under Cyanistes caeruleus (blue tit). Its description in RNAcentral is "lncRNA (ENSCCEG00000014021.1)". Lineage: Eukaryota; Metazoa; Chordata; Aves; Passeriformes; Paridae. The record is from RNAcentral.
CUGUUGAAUUACUAGCACUAGCUGCUAGCCUGACUGGGGAGCUGCAAGUCACCUGCAAUCAGCCAAAUUUGCAUACUGCAGCAGCAGUCAAGUCAGAGGAAGGCACUUACCAAGGGCUACAGGGCAGAAGCUCCAUCUGCCAUCUAGAACAUUAUCAUGGGGGAAGAUGGCAACCUAUAUCCAUGUCUUAAAGGAAACCCAGAGGGAGUAGGAGUUUCUCACCGGUAGGGUUUUGUUUGGUACAUUUGUUUAUUUUUGCAGCUUCUGCUUAAAAUCCUGUGGCAGUCUUGAGAGUCCUCCUGAAUCAAAGCCACCUUCUCAGCUGAAUGCCCCAUGGACACUACAGGCAUUUGCAUCCUUCCUGUUCUGAUGAAACUCCUUUCCAUGGACAGAAGCAUCCUCAUCUCCUGAACUGUAUUGAGUUUUAGCAGAAACAAAGUGCACAAUCACUUAGCCCAGCUGGGAGAGGAGCAUGGGACGAUGCCCAGUGCAUGUGCAGGUUUUCAGUCAGACACAGUGGACCUAGGCACCUUCAAGGCAGUGACAGGCAAGAUGUGAGAGAUAUCCUUUUGGCUGUUGCUGGAAUUUUGCUGAAGUCUAAGUCCAUUUUCAUUUGUUGGAUAAUCUGCAAACCCAGUCCCUGUUGCAUUUCAGGUAGAAGGAAGAGGAGGGAAAUAGCUUCGGGAAAAAGAAAAAAAGAAACAUCUAUCAGAAUAAGAAGAGCAUAAGGGGGUCAUUCAAAUGGUACAUUUGGACCAUUUCCUUUUCCAACAGCCACACAGAUCUCUGUGUAACCAACCCAGUUUCACAAGAAAAGUGCUUCCAGUCUUGAAAUCUAGUUUCAAAUACUUAUUAGUGAGAACACAUUCAGGAACUGUUGCUUUUCAAAAGGCACUCUUACUGAUAUUUUCACAACUGUAUCAUCUUUUGGUAAUAUUCCUGCAGACCUAGGGCUCUCAUGUAAAUGCAGAUACCCAAGGACACUUACAUGCAUAAGAUGCACAUGUAAGCAUAAGCUUCUUAUUUAUGCCUUUGGGCUGAUAUAAGUGAGAAACUGAAGCAAAAAUCUUUGCUUUAAUUUCUUAAUAAAGUUCAAAGGGAUUUUAGUUAUAAAUGGUAU